This 529-nucleotide ribosomal RNA is filed under the name uncultured bacterium. RNAcentral describes it as "bacterial SSU rRNA". It matches the Rfam family "Bacterial small subunit ribosomal RNA", at positions 777 to 1304 of the family's 1533-position model. The record is from RNAcentral.
AAUAGAUACCCGGGUAGUCCACGCCGUAAACGAUGAGUGCUAAGUGUUAGGGGGUUUCCGCCCCUUAGUGCUGCAGCUAACGCAUUAAGCACUCCGCCUGGGGAGUACGGUCGCAAGACUGAAACUCAAAGGAAUUGACGGGGGCCCGCACAAGCGGUGGAGCAUGUGGUUUAAUUCGAAGCAACGCGAAGAACCUUACCAGGUCUUGACAUCCCGUUGACCACUGUAGAGAUAUAGUUUCCCCUUCGGGGGCAACGGUGACAGGUGGCGCAUGGUUGUCGUCAGCUCGUGUCGUGAGAUGUUGGGUUAAGUCCCGCAACGAGCGCAACCCUUGAUCUUAGUUGCCAUCAUUUAGUUGGGCACUCUAAGGUGACUGCCGGUGACAAACCGGAGGAAGGUGGGGAUGACGUCAAAUCAUCAUGCCCCUUAUGACCUGGGCUACACACGUGCUACAAUGGAUGGUACAAAGGGCUGCAAGACCGCGAGGUCAAGCCAAUCCCAUAAAACCAUUCUCAGUUCGGAUUGUAGG